Molecule: transfer RNA, 72 nt
Filed under: Camelus bactrianus (Bactrian camel)
Lineage: Eukaryota; Metazoa; Chordata; Mammalia; Artiodactyla; Camelidae
Also listed under: 2 other names
Rfam family: tRNA
About the family: Transfer RNA (tRNA) molecules are approximately 80 nucleotides in length.
Source: Rfam by way of RNAcentral
GGAGGUAUAGCCCAGUGGUAGAGCACAUGCUUAGCAUGCAUGAGGUCCUGGAUUCAAUCACCAGUACCUCCA